This 423-nucleotide ribosomal RNA is filed under the name Bymainiella terraereginae. RNAcentral describes it as "partial 16S ribosomal RNA". It matches the Rfam family "Bacterial large subunit ribosomal RNA", at positions 1832 to 2600 of the family's 2925-position model. Lineage: Eukaryota; Metazoa; Arthropoda; Arachnida; Araneae; Hexathelidae. The record is from RNAcentral.
UUCUAAUUGCUUCACAGUUAGUAUGACCUGCACCAUGAACUUUUAAAUAGCCGCUAUUUCUGUGCUAAGGUAGCAAAAUCAUUCGCCUUUCAAUUGAAGGCUUGUAUGAAAGGUCUAACAUGAGAAUUUCUUUAUUAUUGCUAUUUUUUGAAAUUAACGCAAAUGUAAAAAGACACUUAUUAUUAGAGGGACGACAAGACCCUGUCGAGCUUUACAACACGUUGAGCUGGGGCGGCUAAAAACAAUUUCUUUUUUCGUUAAUCAUCCAUUUUUGUGAUUUUGAACAAGUUACCGCAGGGAUAACAGCAUAAUUUUUUCUUCCAGAUCUUAUUCAAGAAAAAGAUUGUGACCUCGAUGUUGAAUAUUUAUCUAAUAGGAGCAAAAUCUUAUUUAGAAAGUCUGUUCGACUUUUAAAACUUUACA